UGGAUAGCUCAGUUGGUUUGAGCGUGGUGCCGAUAACACCAAGGUUGCAGGUUCAAUCCCUUAUGGGGCAG
Non-coding RNA from Podarcis lilfordi (Lilford's wall lizard), 71 nucleotides. The record is from the annotation of a GenBank genome assembly. Lineage: Eukaryota; Metazoa; Chordata; Lepidosauria; Squamata; Lacertidae.